RNAcentral lists this ribosomal RNA (506 nucleotides) under uncultured bacterium. RNAcentral describes it as "partial 16S ribosomal RNA". It matches the Rfam family "Bacterial small subunit ribosomal RNA", at positions 28 to 523 of the family's 1533-position model. The record is from RNAcentral.
GAUGAACGCUAGCUACAGGCUUAACACAUGCAAGUCGAGGGGUAACGAGAGGAAAGCUUGCUUUCCUUGUCGACGACCGGCGCACGGGUGAGUAACGCAUAUCCAACCUGCCCCCAACUAGGGAAUAACCUUGCGAAAGUAAGACUAAUACCCUAUAAUUUCCUAAGAUGCCAUCUGACGAGGAAUAAAGAUUUAUCGGUUGUGGAUGGGGAUGCGUCUGAUUAGCUUGUUGGCGGGGUAACGGCCCACCAAGGCAACGAUCAGUAGGGGUUCUGAGAGGAAGGUCCCCCACAUUGGAACUGAGACACGGUCCAACCUCCUACGGGAGGCAGCAGUGAGGAAUAUUGGUCAAUGGGCGGAAGCCUGAACCAGCCAAGUAGCGUGCAGGAUGACGGCCCUAUGGGUUGUAAACUGCUUUUAUACAGGAAUAAAGUUAGCCACGUGUGGUUAUUUGUAGGUACUGUAUGAAUAAGGACCGGCUAAUUCCGUGCCAGCCGCCGCAGUAA